Neltuma alba is the source of this 495-nucleotide long non-coding RNA. RefSeq lists it as uncharacterized. The record is from RefSeq and is a predicted model, not a curated record. Lineage: Eukaryota; Viridiplantae; Streptophyta; Magnoliopsida; Fabales; Fabaceae. The transcript is spliced from 2 exons.
UCAUUGUAUCGCCAAAUACUGAGAAGCCUUAACUCUCCAAAGUUACCACUUAAUUUAGCUGCAAGAAUGGCUAAGAAGGCAGAGAAUACUCUCUUUCCCUUUUAAGAAAAGGUGAAAUCCCUAAGCACAUUCAAUGAGCCAACUGAUUUACUUCUCAGAAUAGUGUUUUCAAAUCUUUCUCUCCUUUUUCUAUUUGAGUUCAUUCCUGAAGUGUCAGUUGUAAUGGAUAUUAUUCUUUUGGUACUGGACCUAAAAUGGAGUGGUGGUCUUUUAUCUUUCAUAGAAUAUUAUUCACUAUGAGGUGAAUUUGUUCAAAAGGUUGCAUGUAGUGAGUUGCCAAUGUGGGCCAUCUGUUAAUGUCAUUUAGUUUCUUUGGAUUACUGUUGAUUGUGUUAGUGUUUGAUAGGAAUGCAAACUUACUGUUAGAUAUCAUUUCAUAUUGUACCAAAACCCAUCUGUAUUUUUACUCCCAUUAAAAAUAAUAAACGUAGCAUA